GAUGAACGCUGGCGGCGUGCUUAACACAUGCAAGUCGAGCGAGAAACUGUUUUUAGAUUCUUCGGAUGAAGAAAGCAGUGGAAAGCGGCGGACGGGUGAGUAACGCGUGGGUAACCUGCCCUAUGCAAGGGGAUAACAACGAGAAAUCGUUGCUAAUACCGUAUAAGCACACAGUAUGGCAUCAUACAGUGUGAAAAACUCCGGUGGCAUAGGAUGGACCCGCGUCUGAUUAGCUAGUUGGUGGGGUAAAAGCUCACCAAGGCGACGAUCAGUAGCCGGCCUGAGAGGGUGGACGGCCACAUUGGGACUGAGACACGGCCCAAACUCCUACGGGAGGCAGCAGUGGGGAAUAUUGCACAAUGGGGGAAACCCUGAUGCAGCGACGCCGCGUGAAGGAAGAAGGUUUUCGGAUCGUAAACUUCUAUCAGCAGGGAAGAAAUUGACGGUACCUGACUAAGAAGCCCCGGCUAACUACG
Molecule: ribosomal RNA, 476 nt
Filed under: uncultured Eubacteriales bacterium
Lineage: Bacteria; Bacillati; Bacillota; Clostridia; Eubacteriales
Description: bacterial SSU rRNA
Rfam family: Bacterial small subunit ribosomal RNA
Source: RNAcentral